UACGGAGGAUCCAAGCGUUAUCCGGAUUUAUUGGGUUUAAAGGGAGCGUAGGCGACCUAUUAAGUCAGGGGUGAAAGACGGUGGCUCAACCAUCGCAGUGCCUUUGAUACUGAUGGGCUUGAAUGUAGUUGAGGUAGGCGGAAUGUGACAAGUAGCGGUGAAAUGCAUAGAUAUGUCACAGAACACCGAUUGCGAAGGCAGCUUACUAAGCUAUGAUUGACGCUGAGGCUCGAAAGCGUGGGGAUCAAACAGG
RNAcentral lists this ribosomal RNA (253 nucleotides) under uncultured bacterium. Its description in RNAcentral is "partial 16S ribosomal RNA". It matches the Rfam family "Bacterial small subunit ribosomal RNA", at positions 524 to 776 of the family's 1533-position model. The record is from RNAcentral.